RNAcentral lists this transfer RNA (76 nucleotides) under Shouchella clausii. RNAcentral describes it as "Alkalihalobacillus clausii tRNA-Arg". It matches the Rfam family "tRNA". Rfam says of the family: Transfer RNA (tRNA) molecules are approximately 80 nucleotides in length. Their secondary structure includes four short double-helical elements and three loops (D, anti-codon, and T loops). Further hydrogen bonds mediate the characteristic L-shaped molecular structure. tRNAs have two regions of fundamental functional importance: the anti-codon, which is responsible for specific mRNA codon recognition, and the 3' end, to which the tRNAs corresponding amino acid is attached (by aminoacyl-tRNA synthetases). tRNAs cope with the degeneracy of the genetic code in two manners: having more than one tRNA (with a specific anti-codon) for a particular amino acid; and 'wobble' base-pairing, i.e. permitting non-standard base-pairing at the 3rd anti-codon position. Lineage: Bacteria; Bacillati; Bacillota; Bacilli; Caryophanales; Bacillaceae. The record is from RNAcentral.
GCGCCUAUGGUGAAAUGGGAUAUCACACGAGAUUCCGGUUCUCGCGUUGUGGGUUCGAAUCCUGCUAGGCGCGUCA